This 73-nucleotide transfer RNA is filed under the name Ailuropoda melanoleuca (giant panda). It matches the Rfam family "tRNA". From Rfam's summary of the family: Transfer RNA (tRNA) molecules are approximately 80 nucleotides in length. Their secondary structure includes four short double-helical elements and three loops (D, anti-codon, and T loops). The record is from Rfam by way of RNAcentral. Lineage: Eukaryota; Metazoa; Chordata; Mammalia; Carnivora; Ursidae.
GCUUGGCUGGCUCAGUUGGUAGAGCAUGUGACUCUUGAUCUUGGGGUAAUGAGUUUGAGCCCCAUGUUAGGUG